ACUAUUCACUAUUCAGCAAUCACUUACUAGCUUUCAUAGACACACCCAUUUGUUUCAAACACUUUUCUGCUCCCCAUUGAAUCAAGCACUAACAACCAAUGCUCAUAUACCAUGAAUAGCCAAACUACAUAUUAUAACACAAACACUGUUUCUUAUUAUUACUAACUUACAUCGUGAUUAUCAAUUUCAUCCAUCCAAAUCAUAUUAAGUGAGCAAAGUGGCUACACUAACAUAAAUAUAUUUUUCAAUAUAUCAAAAGAUGCAAAAGGACACUCAUUAUGAAACAUCAACUGAAAUGUUCUAUUCAGUAAUGUAAGAGGCUAAAUGAUGUGAUUUAGUAGCCAAAAUUCAAAAACAUGGAAUUAGUAGAACAAUAGACAUUUAGCAAUAGCAGGAAUCAACAGUUCAUUGAAAAUUUAGUGUAUCAUUAAAUCAAUGCAUAUACAUUCUAUAUGAAAUUUGUUUCAAUUAAACUUUAUAAUGUAUCAUCGUGUAAUUGGUUUAAUUUUAUAAAAGAUACAUCAUUACAAUCUAUGGACCUAAAUCUCCACUUUGUUUUUUAAUAUGUUUAUUUAUACAUAUUGAUUUUAAACUAAACCUAAGUUUGUGGCAUAUUAAAAGAAAAAAGGAAACAUUGCAGAGAGAAUACGAGAUAAUACUUAAAACUCAAUUUGGAACCUAAGCUUGCAUGCAAAUUUCAAUUUAGUUCUGAAAUUUCAAUAGUCUCUAUUUAGCAAGGUUCUGAGAACCGGACCGGUCAUCAACCACUCUAGUCACUGGUUCAUUGGUCCAACCGGUGGUUCAACCGGAAAAACUAUUUUAGAAUAAAAUAAUAAAUAAAUUAUAAACAAACAUUCUAAAAUAUAAUUAUAGUCUAAUAUAAAUCUUAAAAUAUCUUCCAAAUUUAAAACACUACAUAAAAUACCAUCAACCAAAUCUAUAUGAUCUUAUCAAAAUACAAACUCAAAACUUUGAAUGGUUUUGAAUAAUUAUUAUUCCUACUACGGUCAAACACAAUAUUUUCAUAAAAAUCCUUAAGAUCGAAAAACCAUAACAACACUACUUUUUUGGUUGGUUUUAGAAAACAAAACUUUAAUCCUCUCAAUACAGUAAUUCCACAUCAGAUUCAAAGCAAGUAAAACCAAAAAAUUCUAAACGUAUAUUCCAAGAAAUGAUGAAAAACCAAACGUGAGACCGGUUUUCACAUAAACCAAAAGUUAGUUGACAGAGUUACAUAAUAUAAAGCUGUCAAAAUUAUUAUAACUAACUACAUACAUCAACUAAUAAGUAAGAACUUUAACCUUUUAGCCCCCCAAAACAAUCAAUUAAAUAUAAUUUACAGUUCAAUGAAGCCCUGUUUGCAUUACAAUUAUUUACAAAUGUUGAGUAAUAAUAACAUGAAAAGGUAGCUACUAGCUAGUGAAGUCGAACAGAGAAGGCAUGGUAGUAGUAUCACUGUAAAUGUUUUAGUACAUCCAGUGGCCACAAAAUCUUACUGGAAUAUGAUGAGUAAUUAUAUAAUUUAACAGCAUGAGAAGAGGAUUGCCACAAAAACUUAAAUUUCAACUUCAAAUAGUAGAACUCCCCAAAAGAGUUGUUACUGACAAAUUUGGUACAAUUUUAUGUACCGAUUCAUCGCCAAACCCCAAUUUUUCCUCUCUCCCAAUUCAAUCCCUUUCCAACUCUCACAUACCCACAAACCAAAGAAAUUCAGUGGGUUUCGUCUGUUCUCAAUGGCUUUGGAACCGAAGGAGUUACCAACUAACAACCCUGGUCUUACUGCUACCCCUGACCCAGCUACUAAGGGUUACUUCAUGCAGCAAACUAUGUUUAGAAUCAAAGACCCCAUAUAUAAAAUGGAUUUGAAUGGCUAGAACUAGAAGAAGUGAAGUGCCACUAACCUUCGACGGAUACACGGACGGCGACCGGCGAGACGACGGCGACCGGCGACACGGCGGCGAGCUGCUCCAAGCCUCGAACAGAGAAGCCAGGCAGGACGGGAACAGGGGGAAGGAGGACGCCGAGCUACAAGACAGGGCCUGGGC
Arachis ipaensis is the source of this 2045-nucleotide long non-coding RNA. RefSeq lists it as uncharacterized. NCBI's taxonomy places the organism in Eukaryota, Viridiplantae, Streptophyta, Magnoliopsida, Fabales, Fabaceae. The record is from RefSeq and is a predicted model, not a curated record.